UUGUCAAUUCAAAAAUUUCUU
This 21-nucleotide non-coding RNA is filed under the name Caenorhabditis elegans. The record is from RNAcentral. Lineage: Eukaryota; Metazoa; Nematoda; Chromadorea; Rhabditida; Rhabditidae.